Molecule: ribosomal RNA, 561 nt
Filed under: uncultured bacterium
Lineage: Bacteria
Description: bacterial SSU rRNA
Rfam family: Bacterial small subunit ribosomal RNA
Source: RNAcentral
GGCAAAGGGAUUUCCUGCGGUCUACAAUGCAAGUCGAGCGGAUGAAGGGAGCUUGCUCCUGGAUUCAGCGGCGGACGGGUGAGUAAUGCCUAGGAAUCUGCCUGGUAGUGGGGGACAACGUUUCGAAAGGAACGCUAAUACCGCAUACGUCCUACGGGAGAAAGCAGGGGACCUUUGGGCCUUGCGCUAUCAGAUGAGCCUAGGUCGGAUUAGCUAGUUGGUGAGGUAAUGGCUCACCAAGGCGACGAUCCGUAACUGGUCUGAGAGGAUGAUCAGUCACACUGGAACUGAGACACGGUCCAGACUCCUACGGGAGGCAGCAGUGGGGAAUAUUGGACAAUGGGCGAAAGCCUGAUCCAGCCAUGCCGCGUGUGUGAAGAAGGUCUUCGGAUUGUAUAGCACUUUAAGUUGGGAGGAAGGGCUCCACCUAGUGUCCGUACGCCUUGGCGAAUAGCGACAAAGGGAAAAAAAACAAAACAGUUGGCCGGUUAAAAAAAGGGUGCAACACGAGGACUUCCCAUGAGGUAACCCAUCCCAGUACUACUCUCGCCCAAGGAUAAU